GUAACCCAACCCAUAGAUUGCCACACCACUUGCAAUCCGCCAGAGGACUACAAGUGAAAACUUUAAACUCUAAGGACUUGACGGUGUCCCACCCAUACUAGAGGAGCCUGUCCUAUAAUCGACACCCCACGCUAUACCUUACCCCCCCUAGCCAACCAACCUAUAUACCGCCGUCGCCAGCUCACACUGUGAAUGCACCACCGUAAGCACAAUCAUCACCCAUUAAAACGACAGAGUCAAGGUGUAGUUAAUAGGGGGGGCAGCGAUGGGCUACAUUUUCUUCACUAGAAAAUACCACCCGCACCAUGAAACCUUUGCCCACAGGUGGAUUUAGAAGUAAGCCCUGACAAGACAUGUCAACCUGAAAUACGCCCUGGGACGA
RNAcentral lists this ribosomal RNA (382 nucleotides) under Pristurus rupestris rupestris. RNAcentral's name for it is "partial 12S ribosomal RNA". It matches the Rfam family "Bacterial small subunit ribosomal RNA", at positions 790 to 1382 of the family's 1533-position model. The record is from RNAcentral. Lineage: Eukaryota; Metazoa; Chordata; Lepidosauria; Squamata; Sphaerodactylidae.